RNAcentral lists this ribosomal RNA (253 nucleotides) under uncultured bacterium. RNAcentral's name for it is "partial 16S ribosomal RNA". It matches the Rfam family "Bacterial small subunit ribosomal RNA", at positions 524 to 776 of the family's 1533-position model. The record is from RNAcentral.
CACGUAGGAGGCGAGCGUUGUCCGGAAUCAUUGGGCGUAAAGAGCGCGCAGGCGGCCCGGCAAGUCGGGUGUGAAAUCCCGGGGCUCAACCCCGGGACUGCAUUCGAUACUGCCGGGCUAGAGGUAGGUAGGGGAGAUCGGAAUUCCUGGUGUAGCGGUGAAAUGCGCAGAUAUCAGGAGGAACACCGGUGGCGAAGGCGGAUCUCUGGGCCUUACCCGACGCUCAGGCGCGAAAGCUAGGGGAGCGAACAGG